CCGAGUUUACAACUCCCAAACCCCUGUGAACAUACCUAUCGUUGCUUCGGCGGAUCCGCCCCGGCGCCCUCGGGCCCGGAUCAGGCGCCCGCCGGAGACCCCAAACUCUUGUAUUUCUUUAGUAUCUUCUGAGUAACAAGCAAAUAAAUUA
Molecule: unclassified non-coding RNA, 151 nt
Filed under: soil metagenome
Description: partial internal transcribed spacer 1
Source: RNAcentral